AGCUUCCUACCGUUUCAAAAACACGCCGCACAGACUGCAGCUCUCACACUGAGACGGCGUUAAUCAUGGCAACUAUCAGAUACGACAGAGACGCUCUCAUUGCUAUCGGAUUACAGUCUACCUGCCAACUAACACCGGACCCAUGCUGGCCAGCAGAGAUCCAGAGGGGGCCCAAUGAACGCCACAGGAGGAAGACGCACCGGGGAAAGCGAGCUGGCGUCUCGAAAUGGCUGAAGUACCGCGCAGGGCUGCCUACUAUCCUGCUGUCCAACAUGCAGUCUCUGGAGAGCAGCCUCCAGGACCUCCAGGUCACGGAGAAGUUUCAGAAGGACAUCCAAAACUGCAACCUACUCUGCUUUACCGAGACACGGCUCAACCCAGCAGUGCCGGACCACGAAAUCCAACUGACAGAGUUCUUCUCAGUUCAUCGCAUGGACACGGCGGACCCGGGGAUGUUUGGGGGAGGCGGUUUGUGUCUCAUGGUAAACCGCAAGUGGUGCGACAGCGAGAACAUCGCUCCAGUUGCGCACUUUUACUCACACAACCUAAAGCUUCUGAGCAUCAGAUGUCGCCCCCUGCACCUCUCCCAGGACUUCUCCUCACUUCUGGUGAGCGCGGUGUCCAUCCCACCUCAGGCAAACACAGACGGCGCCUUAUUAGAACUGCACUGGGCUCUGACCCAGCAACAGGUUCAACACCCAGACGCUGCGCUCAUCGUGGCCGGGGACUUCAGCGGCGCCAACCUCACACGCGUCAUGCCAGACUUCCACCAACACAUCUCCUCCUCCUCCUCCAAGGCUCGGCACUGUUACACCUCUUUCGGAGACGAGUACAAGUCACAAUCCUACAGUCCGUAUGGGAAAUGUGUUCACGCCGCCACCUUCUUCAUGCCUACACGCACACAACAGGAGGCGCCGAUUCACAGUGAGGUCACACCGUGGUUGGGCCAAUCGGUGUCCGUCUUGCAGCACGCUGUGGAUACUGCAGACUGGAAGAUGUUCAGGAGCUGGGCUGGUUUCUUGUUUCACGAGCCAUUCGAUCUGCUGCGAAUAUAGCGCAGCGUCAAGGUGGUCAGCAUGGACAAAUCAGGUGCAUCCUGUCAAAAGUUUAUCGUGGCUUUCACCUCUGAAGAUUGAUGUUCUCAUCAUCUGAUGCAGGAGGAGGGAGACAUGAGCAUGCUGACUGCAGGAGGCUUUUAAGGACACAGACCUAAAAGAACACUGUACAGAAAAUGAUGCAGCAAUAAGAAUGUUAUGGUUUGGCAUAAAGCAGUGUCAACUCUGAACCCUGUUACAUGCUGAAACCACAAACUUACAGCAGACAAACCAAAGCUCUAAUCCCUUUAAGCAAUGUU
Parambassis ranga (Indian glassy fish) is the source of this 1354-nucleotide long non-coding RNA. The record is from Ensembl. Lineage: Eukaryota; Metazoa; Chordata; Actinopteri; Ambassidae.